GAUCAACGGUAUACGAAAUAACACCUUCUUUCUCUUCGUCCAAAGCUUUUAUAACUUUCCCCGUUGGUCCUAUUAUUUUACUAUGCCCAAAAAACGAAAGUUUUUCGUCUGUACCGACUCUGUUGGCAGCCACCAGUGGAAUGCAGUUUUCAAAAGCCCGUGCUUUUGUAACCAAAUCCCAAUCGUCGGAAUAAGGGUUUUCCCAGUUUGUUGCGACUACCAGUAAAUCGGCACCGUUCAGCGCAUGAAUUCGCGCAACCUCAGGAAACGCAGUAUCCCAACAAAUCAUGACACCUAAUUUUCCAAAGCUAGUCUCGAAUAUUGGGAAAUCGGAACCCUUUUUGAAAUGUUUACGCUCGGUGUCAAAAAGGUGAACUUUUCUGUACACACCGCCUAAAUUUCCAUUUUCGGUGAUGUAAAUGCACGAAUUGUAAAUUAUAUUUGAUUGCUUCUCUUCUUUUUCUGGGAAUCCGUAAAUAAUGUUAACAUGGUACUUUGCGGCCAGAUUGCUCAUUGUUUUAAAACUUGGGCCUUCACCGGCAAUUUCAGCGAUUUGGGUAAAAGUGUUGCCGCAUUCAUAUCCUGAAGUUAUCAAUUCAGGGAAUAAGAUUAGGUUUGUGCUAGGAUUUGACUCCAUCACUUCAUGAACAUAAGAACUCAUCUUUUGUAAAUUGUGUUUUACAUCACAAACUUUGGGUGCCAUUUGCACGCACGCGAUAUUAGCCUUCAUGAUUCCGGUAGAAGCGAACGUUGUAGAAAACGAUGAGAACGUUUCGUUCUAAAUUACUUACAUUAUUAUAAUAAAUCUGCCAUGAAAUGCCCAAGAUACUGGAAGUAAAGACUAUUCUAA
Schizosaccharomyces pombe (fission yeast) is the source of this 850-nucleotide non-coding RNA. The record is from the annotation of a GenBank genome assembly. NCBI's taxonomy places the organism in Eukaryota, Fungi, Ascomycota, Schizosaccharomycetes, Schizosaccharomycetales, Schizosaccharomycetaceae.